GACGUAGGGGGCCAGCGUUGCUCGGAAUUACUGGGCGUAAAGGGUUCGUAGGCGGUGUGGCAAGUCGGGAGUGAAAUCUCUGGGCUUAACUCAGAGGCUGCUUCCGAAACUGCCGUGCUAGAGUGCUGUAGAGGGGGGUAGAAUGCCGGGUGUAGCGGUGGAAUGCGUAGAGAUCCGGCAGAAGACCGGUGGCGAAGGCGGCCCCCUGGGCAGUAACUGACACUGAGGCGCGACAGCGUGGGGAGCAAACAGG
RNAcentral lists this ribosomal RNA (253 nucleotides) under uncultured bacterium. RNAcentral's name for it is "partial 16S ribosomal RNA". It matches the Rfam family "Bacterial small subunit ribosomal RNA", at positions 524 to 776 of the family's 1533-position model. The record is from RNAcentral.